CUUUAAAAGCAUUCUAAACUCAGCUUUAUUGUCAUUCGAUCAAUGGUACAUGAUAGAAUAAAAUAUAGUUAUCCAGGUCUCGGUUUUGUAGCAUAAAAGCUAAAAGGAUAAAAUAUCAAAUAAAAUAUAUAA
Long non-coding RNA from Sphaeramia orbicularis (orbiculate cardinalfish), 132 nucleotides. RefSeq lists it as uncharacterized. Lineage: Eukaryota; Metazoa; Chordata; Actinopteri; Kurtiformes; Apogonidae. The transcript has 3 exons. The record is from RefSeq and is a predicted model, not a curated record.